RNAcentral lists this ribosomal RNA (254 nucleotides) under uncultured bacterium. RNAcentral's name for it is "partial 16S ribosomal RNA". It matches the Rfam family "Bacterial small subunit ribosomal RNA", at positions 524 to 776 of the family's 1533-position model. The record is from RNAcentral.
GACGAACCGUGCGAACGUUAUUCGGAAUCACUGGGCUUAAAGCGCGUGUAGGCGGGAGGGCACGUCCGUUGCUGAAAUCCCCCGGCUCAACCGGGGAACGGGCGCGGAUACGACUCUCCUUGAGGGGCGUAGGGGGACCUGGAACUUCCGGUGGAGCGGUGAAAUGCGUAGAGAUCCGGAGGAACACCAAAGGCGAAGGCAGUGUCCUGGGGAGUACCUGACGCUCAGGUGCGAAAGCCAGGGGAGCGAACGGG